This is a non-coding RNA of Paramisgurnus dabryanus, 765 nucleotides long. The record is from RefSeq and is a predicted model, not a curated record. Lineage: Eukaryota; Metazoa; Chordata; Actinopteri; Cypriniformes; Cobitidae.
UUAAAGAGCACCUAUUAUGGGAUACACGUUUUUAAACAUCCUUUUGUGUGUAAGUGUGCAUUAGUACAUGCUAACGAUAUUCAAAAAGUACAUACCUCAAAGAAAACGAUGACGCGAGUUAUCGUCUCUAACGUUCGAGGACUACAAAAAACACUCGGAUUGUAGGCAACAGUUUACUUCCUGGGAUUGGUGACGUAGAUAAGACCAACAUUAUCAUAGUUCAGCCCUCUCUGCUUUGCUUGGGUACGCCCUCAAAGACGGGGGUGGGGAGCGCCGAGUCAGAAGAGAGCUAAAAUGGCGGAGGUUGUGAGCUCCUGCUUUGACUCUGUUUGCAAACUCUUGUUUCAUUGUUUAAGCGAUUAAAUCUCUCGAGUAGACGCUGUCUCUUUAGAUGCGAGGGCAAAAUAGCACUUUAUGGACUUCCACAGAGGACAUCAUGUUUAAUACGGUUCCGGAAAAAUCCAGUCAGAAGUUGUUCACGGAGUUUUCACAAUAACUGCUUCUCAUGAACCGAAGCUGGAUUUGCGCGAAGUCUCCUAUUGAAAGUUGGAUUACUGUGCACUUCUGGAUCACAGGCUAUUCGCAGCUGGACACAUCCUUCUACACUGUAUGCAAACAUGCAACAUCAUUACACACAGUACAAGGAGUCAGACUGGCAUAUGAGGAGCAAAGGAACCCAGGCAGUAGCAUCGUUUCACAAUGUUUCCAUCACCAUCAUCAGUGGAUGCCUUUGCCGUCCGUAGCCUGAGAUUUCAGAUUUGCAGC